GACGAACGCUGGCGGCGUGCCUAAUACAUGCAAGUUGAGCGCUGAAGGUUGGUACUUGUACCAACUGGAUGAGCAGCGAACGGGUGAGUAACGCGUGGGGAAUCUGCCUUUGAGCGGGGGACAACAUUUGGAAACGAAUGCUAAUACCGCAUAAAAACUUUAAACACAAGUUUUAAGUUUGAAAGAUGCAAUUGCAUCACUCAAAGAUGAUCCCGCGUUGUAUUAGCUAGUUGGUGAGGUAAAGGCUCACCAAGGCGAUGAUACAUAGCCGACCUGAGAGGGUGAUCGGCCACAUUGGGACUGAGACACGGCCCAAACUCCUACGGGAGGCAGCAGUAGGGAAUCUUCGGCAAUGGACGAAAGUCUGACCGAGCAAACGCCGCGUGAGUGAAAGAAAGGUUUUUCGGAUUCGUAAAAACUUCUGUUGGUA
RNAcentral lists this ribosomal RNA (430 nucleotides) under Lactococcus lactis. RNAcentral describes it as "bacterial SSU rRNA". It matches the Rfam family "Bacterial small subunit ribosomal RNA", at positions 28 to 441 of the family's 1533-position model. The record is from RNAcentral. Lineage: Bacteria; Bacillati; Bacillota; Bacilli; Lactobacillales; Streptococcaceae.